RNAcentral lists this ribosomal RNA (918 nucleotides) under Lacticaseibacillus paracasei. RNAcentral's name for it is "bacterial SSU rRNA". It matches the Rfam family "Bacterial small subunit ribosomal RNA", at positions 1 to 884 of the family's 1533-position model. The record is from RNAcentral. Lineage: Bacteria; Bacillati; Bacillota; Bacilli; Lactobacillales; Lactobacillaceae.
UAUUUUUUUUUUUGAUUUUAACCACAGAUGAACGCUGGCGGCGUGCCUAAUACAUGCAAGUCGAACGAGUUCUCGUUGAUGAUCGGUGCUUGCACCGAGAUUCAACAUGGAACGAGUGGCGGACGGGUGAGUAACACGUGGGUAACCUGCCCUUAAGUGGGGGAUAACAUUUGGAAACAGAUGCUAAUACCGCAUAGAUCCAAGAACCGCAUGGUUCUUGGCUGAAAGAUGGCGUAAGCUAUCGCUUUUGGAUGGACCCGCGGCGUAUUAGCUAGUUGGUGAGGUAAUGGCUCACCAAGGCGAUGAUACGUAGCCGAACUGAGAGGUUGAUCGGCCACAUUGGGACUGAGACACGGCCCAAACUCCUACGGGAGGCAGCAGUAGGGAAUCUUCCACAAUGGACGCAAGUCUGAUGGAGCAACGCCGCGUGAGUGAAGAAGGCUUUCGGGUCGUAAAACUCUGUUGUUGGAGAAGAAUGGUCGGCAGAGUAACUGUUGCCGGCGUGACGGUAUCCAACCAGAAAGCCACGGCUAACUACGUGCCAGCAGCCGCGGUAAUACGUAGGUGGCAAGCGUUAUCCGGAUUUAUUGGGCGUAAAGCGAGCGCAGGCGGUUUUUUAAGUCUGAUGUGAAAGCCCUCGGCUUAACCGAGGAAGCGCAUCGGAAACUGGGAAACUUGAGUGCAGAAGAGGACAGUGGAACUCCAUGUGUAGCGGUGAAAUGCGUAGAUAUAUGGAAGAACACCAGUGGCGAAGGCGGCUGUCUGGUCUGUAACUGACGCUGAGGCUCGAAAGCAUGGGUAGCGAACAGGAUUAGAUACCCUGGUAGUCCAUGCCGUAAACGAUGAAUGCUAGGUGUUGGAGGGUUUCCGCCCUUCAGUGCCGCAGCUAACGCAUAAGCAUCCGUCCUGUGAGAGGCG